Molecule: ribosomal RNA, 519 nt
Filed under: Triticum aestivum (bread wheat)
Lineage: Eukaryota; Viridiplantae; Streptophyta; Magnoliopsida; Poales; Poaceae
Description: partial small subunit ribosomal RNA
Source: RNAcentral
AUGCGUGAUACACCUGUCACCGUACCGCCUUCCGACAUCGGAAACCAUAUCGGCUGCUUGCUGGAUCAGACAUAUGGGACGGACGUGUCGUUUACCGUCGACGGCAAGACAUUCCUAGCGAACCGAGCCAUCCUUGCAGCCCGCUCACCGGUCUUCAGGGCAGAGCUUUUUGGGUCCAUGGCCGAAGCUACAGUGUCAUCCAUCACAGUGCACGAUAUCAUGCCUUCAACAUUCAAUUGUAUGCUUCGGUUCAUAUACACGGAUGAGUUUCCUACUACAGAAGAUAACCCCUCCACUGAGGUAUUAUUUGAUUCACUUGCCGCUCCAGAUCGCUACGCGCUAGACCGUCUAAAGCUUAUGUGUGUCCAAAAGUUAUGAGAUAAUGUGUCAAUGGAUACAGUUAUUGAUAUUCAAGCUUGCGCUGAGAUGUACAAUUGCCCCGUGUUGAAGGACAAGUGCAUUGACUAUAUUGGUAAAAAGAAAGAAUCUAAGAAGCAGCCAGAGUCUUCGUUGGGCUAG